Molecule: unclassified non-coding RNA, 28 nt
Filed under: Bacillus subtilis
Lineage: Bacteria; Bacillati; Bacillota; Bacilli; Caryophanales; Bacillaceae
Description: RNA polymerase sigma factor
Source: RNAcentral
UGUGUCUGAUAUCACACAGCUGUCUUUU